This 477-nucleotide ribosomal RNA is filed under the name uncultured bacterium. Its description in RNAcentral is "bacterial SSU rRNA". It matches the Rfam family "Bacterial small subunit ribosomal RNA", at positions 30 to 502 of the family's 1533-position model. The record is from RNAcentral.
AUUGAACGCUGGCGGAAUGCUUUACACAUGCAAGUCGAACGGCAGCACGGGGCAACCUGGUGGCGAGUGGCGAACGGGUGAGUAAUACAUCGGAACGUGCCCAAUCGUGGGGGAUAACGUAGCGAAAGUUACGCUAAUACCGCAUACGAUCUACGGAUGAAAGCGGGGGAUCGCAAGACCUCGCGCGAAUGGAGCGGCCGAUGUCAGAUUAGGUAGUUGGUGGGGUAAAGGCUCACCAAGCCGACGAUCUGUAGCUGGUCUGAGAGGACGACCAGCCACACUGGGACUGAGACACGGCCCAGACUCCUACGGGAGGCAGCAGUGGGGAAUUUUGGACAAUGGGCGCAAGCCUGAUCCAGCCAUUCCGCGUGCAGGAUGAAGGCCUUCGGUGUAAACUGCUUUUGUACGGUAACGAAACGGUGAGCUCUAAUACAGUUGCUAAUGACGGUACCGUAAGAAUAAAGACACCGGCUAACU